This 205-nucleotide unclassified non-coding RNA is filed under the name plant metagenome. Its description in RNAcentral is "partial contains small subunit ribosomal RNA and internal transcribed spacer 1". The stretch from base 1 to 46 matches the Rfam family "Eukaryotic small subunit ribosomal RNA", at positions 1786 to 1831 of the family's 1831-position model. The record is from RNAcentral.
AAGUCGUAACAAGGUCUCCGUAGGUGAACCUGCGGAGGGAUCAUUACUGAGUGCGGGGGUUAGUUGUUCCCCCGACCUCCAACCCUUUGUGCAAUCAUAAUCUUGUUGCUUCGGGGGUCGACCCUGGCCAUUCCGUGGCCAUUCCCCCGGAGGUCCAUCAAACAACUGCAUUCUUACGUCGGAGCAAAAAGUUAAUUUAAUAAAA